AAAAGAAAGGACAGCUCCUUCAAAUUUCAUUUGCAGGUGGACGUGGAGGAGGAGUGAAAAUAGGCGGAAGACUCUCACUCGGUGACAAAACCGAGAGCGACGGAGACAGAGACACAGAUACACGUUGAACUGGGCAGUCCAGCUCUGUAAGGGAGUGCUCCAACUCUUCCAGUCACCGAUCAUGCCAUGGAAGUGAUAGAAGACGCUCCACUUCUCGUUUUCAAUCGCCAAGUUCAAACUGCAGGCAAGAAAUGCUACCAGUACUCCCUGCCUUCCAGCAUGCUCAGAAUAAUUGGCACAAUGGAAUCCUACUCCUCAGAAAGCAAGCAGGCAAAUCCCCCUUUAGACGAGGAUGUCAUCCA
Long non-coding RNA from Myxocyprinus asiaticus (Chinese sucker), 362 nucleotides. RefSeq lists it as uncharacterized. The record is from RefSeq and is a predicted model, not a curated record. The transcript is spliced from 4 exons. Lineage: Eukaryota; Metazoa; Chordata; Actinopteri; Cypriniformes; Catostomidae.